Molecule: non-coding RNA, 99 nt
Filed under: Otolemur garnettii (small-eared galago)
Lineage: Eukaryota; Metazoa; Chordata; Mammalia; Primates; Galagidae
Source: RNAcentral
GGCUGGUCUGAGGCCAGUGGUGUCUACAAAUAACUGAUCACGACCUGUUGGUUAAUAGAUUCCUUUGUUCCUCACACUGCUUCACUUGACAAGCCUAAA